Non-coding RNA from Microcebus murinus (gray mouse lemur), 1200 nucleotides. The record is from RefSeq and is a predicted model, not a curated record. NCBI's taxonomy places the organism in Eukaryota, Metazoa, Chordata, Mammalia, Primates, Cheirogaleidae.
ACUUCGUGUUGUCCAUGGAGCCCCAUGGGCUAGCUUGUUGGAUGUCGUGGGGUCUGUGGAAAGCAUCUGUGAAUAUAGGACAGAGUUUGAAAUGUCUGCAAGGGAAGCAUCAGGAAAUGGUUAAGGUGAGCCUUCCACGGGGGCAAUUGCCCUGCGAGUUGGUGUCACUUUGGCAGUUCUGAGCCUCAGUUUCCUUGUGCAUAAAAUGAGGCCGGUAGAGCCCGAAGCACUGAAUGAGCUCAGGUGAACACCUGGCCAGGCCCAGGUCCCUGCACCUGGUCCUGCAUCAGGUGGCGCUCUGGCUCUGGCGGGUGCCCCAGGCCAUGUGAUGUAGAGGAAGGGGCAGGUGUUCUGGAAUGAGAAGAAUGGAACUCUAGUCCCAGCCCACCUCUGUGACCUAGGACAGUGCAUUCUCCUCCCCAAACUACAGUUUCCUCAUCCGGGAGAGGAAUAAUGUAAAGAAAAGGAAUAAUAAAAAAAAACCCACACAAUGCAAAUUUUCAAAAGCGAAAUGCCUGCUCUGGGCGUCCUUGGCGGAGAGGGUAGCAGAUGACUUCCUAGUUCAGGAAAACACCUUGAUUAAGUUGUGUGGUUUUUGUUAGAACUGAGAAGCCUCCUGGUCACAGUCCGGGCAGAAGAUGUCAACAUGUACGGAAAGCGAGGAGCUACUCUGCAGAAAAAGGUACAGGCGUUGGUCUCUGCCCCCUCCUGAGCACUUGCUGACAUAGAGGAAAACAUGUAUAAAAACUGUGAUCCCACGAGGACAAAGAGAAUAGAAAAGGCAUCGACGGGAGAGCAGUGCAACACGCUGCAGAGGCGGGAUUCGGGUGGAGGGAGGUGACACAUGCAGAGGGCGGGAGACCCGUGACACCAGCAGCAGUGCCAUCGAAGAGGAAGUGAGUGCGCCAAGAGUCCCAGAAGGUCCGACCGAGGGGAGCAGCUGGCGAGCACAAGGCGCAGAGUGUCAGCUGCCAGGCCAAUUACUGGAACAUUUACUAAAGAAGAAGACUCACACGUGCUUUCACCUGUGGGGCGCCCAGUAGCAGAGCGGCUUCCUUGCCCCAACCCCCAGACGCAUGUGUGCGUGCCUGUGCCUUUAAGUGCACUGAAUUCUCACUUACUAUAAGAGAAGACCAAUACGCAAUAUCUAAAAACCAAUCAAUAAAUCAAAUAUAGCAAUAAAAGCUUUUACUUUAGAAA